AUGUCGAUGAUAAAUAUGUCCAGGGACCCAUUGGUCGUUGGCCACAUCGUUGGGGAUAUUGUGGACCCUUUCAUGACUACUGCGUCAUUGAGGAUCUUCUUCAACAACAAGGAGCUGACAAACGGGUCUGAGCUCAAGCCAUCUCAAGUGUUCAACGUUCCAAGAGUUUAUAUUGGCGGGCGAGACAUGAGGAAUCUGUACACGCUUGUGAUGGUGGACCCUGAUGCACCAAGCCCCAGCAACCCUACUAAAAGAGAGAACCUUCAUUGGGGAGGAGGGCUUAAAGGGAGAUGGUGGUCGCCAGCGCGCAAGGAGGAGGCCAUGGGACAAGGACAUCAGCUACGAGGCUUGGCGGUGGUGGUGGAGGAGGGAAGCGGGCUGGUGUCCGGCAUGAGGUCAGCGGUGGUGAGGGUGGCCAAUGAGGAUGGCCUCCCACGACAGCAACGGCGGUGGCUCCUAUGA
This 462-nucleotide ribosomal RNA is filed under the name Triticum aestivum (bread wheat). RNAcentral describes it as "partial small subunit ribosomal RNA". The record is from RNAcentral. Lineage: Eukaryota; Viridiplantae; Streptophyta; Magnoliopsida; Poales; Poaceae.